RNAcentral lists this ribosomal RNA (427 nucleotides) under uncultured bacterium. RNAcentral's name for it is "partial 16S ribosomal RNA". It matches the Rfam family "Bacterial small subunit ribosomal RNA", at positions 355 to 774 of the family's 1533-position model. The record is from RNAcentral.
UGGGGAAUAUUGGACAAUGGUCGAAAGCCUGAUCCAGCCAUGCCGCGUGUGUGAAGAAGGUCUUCGGAUUGUAAAGCACUUUAAGUUGGGAGGAAGGGCAUUAACCUAAUACGUUAGUGUUUUGACGUUACCGACAGAAUAAGCACCGGCUAACUCUGUGCCAGCAGCCGCGGUAAUACAGAGGGUGCAAGCGUUAAUCGGAAUUACUGGGCGUAAAGCGCGCGUAGGUGGUUUGUUAAGUUGGAUGUGAAAUCCCCGGGCUCAACCUGGGAACUGCAUUCAAAACUGACUGACUAGAGUAUGGUAGAGGGUGGUGGAAUUUCCUGUGUAGCGGUGAAAUGCGUAGAUAUAGGAAGGAACACCAGUGGCGAAGGCGACCACCUGGACUAAUACUGACACUGAGGUGCGAAAGCGUGGGGAGCAAACA